GACGAACGCUGGCGGCGUGCCUAAUACAUGCAAGUCGAGCGAGCGGAACUAACAGAUUUACCUCGGUAAUGACGUUGGGAAAGCGAGCGGCGGAUGGGUGAGUAACACGUGGGGAACCUGCCCCAUAGUCUGGGAUACCACUUGGAAACAGGUGCUAAUACCGGAUAAGAAAGCAGAUCGCAUGAUCAGCUUUUAAAAGGCGGCGUAAGCUGUCGCUAUGGGAUGGCCCCGCGGUGCAUUAGCUAGUUGGUAAGGUAAAGGCUUACCAAGGCGAUGAUGCAUAGCCGAGUUGAGAGACUGAUCGGCCACAUUGGGACUGAGACACGGCCCAAACUCCUACGGGAGGCAGCAGUAGGGAAUCUUCCACAAUGGACGCAAGUCUGAUGGAGCAACGCCGCGUGAGUGAAGAAGGUUUUCGGAUCGUAAAGCUCUGUUGUUGGUGAAGAAGGAUAGAGGUAGUAACUGGCCUUUAUUUGACGGUAAUCAACCAGAAAGUCACGGCUAACUACGUG
RNAcentral lists this ribosomal RNA (512 nucleotides) under uncultured bacterium. RNAcentral describes it as "partial 16S ribosomal RNA". It matches the Rfam family "Bacterial small subunit ribosomal RNA", at positions 28 to 507 of the family's 1533-position model. The record is from RNAcentral.